CUUCUCAAUUACAGAACAGUAAUUAAUUAUACUGUAAAUUAUUGCAUUUGUUAUUGCAACUUUUGAAAAAUAAACAAAAAUGUAAGAUUAAUUCACCUUUUCAGAAUCUAAAGGACUAUGGGUAAUCUCAUUGUUCGUACACCAAAAGAAAAAAAUGUUAUGUCAUUGGUUGAAUUUCAAUUGUUUAGAACGUUCUUAACCAAUCACAAGGUUUUGGUGUACGCUUUUGAAAAUUUGCCACAGAAUGCAUUAGUUUAUGAAAAUGGCAAAUUAUUGUGAUUUUAAUAAAAUGCUGCAUACAGACAGUAGAUGAUGGACAAGUGAUAACAAGUGAUGCCAUCACAGACAUCACAGAUGGCAAAAAAUGUAAUACAUUCAUUAGUUUUUAUAGCACAAUUAGUGAAUCAUAAAAUAAGUUCUAAACAAUGAACUACCUUAAUUAAAAACUUUAACAUGAUCAAAAAUGUACAAACAGACAAAAUAAUGGACAGAUGGACAGCUGCACUAACCAUAAUACACAAUGCCCCUAUACUAUAUUAAGC
This 542-nucleotide long non-coding RNA is filed under the name Mytilus galloprovincialis (Mediterranean mussel). Lineage: Eukaryota; Metazoa; Mollusca; Bivalvia; Mytilida; Mytilidae. The record is from RNAcentral.